CUAUGCGCCUUGCCAGCCCCGCCUCAGAAACUCAAAGGAAAUUGACGGGGGCCCGCACAAGCGGAGGAGCAUGUGGUUUAAUUCGAUGAUACGCGAGGAACCUUACCUGGGCUCGAACGUAAGAUGACUGUAGGUGAAAGCUUACAUCUCUUCGGAGCAUUUUACGAGGUGCUGCAUGGUUGUCGUCAGCUCGUGCCGUGAGGUGUCGGGUUAAGUCCCAUAACGAGCGCAACCCUUGUCCUUAGUUACCAGCACGUUAUGGUGGGCACUCUAAGGAGACUGCCGGUGACAAACCGGGGGAAGGUGGGGAUGACGUCAAGUCAUCAUGGCCCUUACGGCCUGGGCUACACACGUGCUACAAUGGUCGGUACAAAGGGUUGCCAAGCCGCGAGGUGGAGCUAAUCCCAUAAAACCGAUCGUAGUCCGGAUCGCAGUCUGCAACUCGACUGCGUGAAGUCGGAAUCGCUAGUAAUCGUGAAUCAGAAUGUCACGGUGAAUACGUUCCCGGGCCUU
Molecule: ribosomal RNA, 513 nt
Filed under: uncultured Pseudomonas sp.
Lineage: Bacteria; Pseudomonadati; Pseudomonadota; Gammaproteobacteria; Pseudomonadales; Pseudomonadaceae
Description: bacterial SSU rRNA
Rfam family: Bacterial small subunit ribosomal RNA
Source: RNAcentral